This 464-nucleotide ribosomal RNA is filed under the name uncultured bacterium. RNAcentral's name for it is "partial 16S ribosomal RNA". It matches the Rfam family "Bacterial small subunit ribosomal RNA", at positions 28 to 506 of the family's 1533-position model. The record is from RNAcentral.
GACGAACGCUGGCGGCGUGCUUAACACAUGCAAGUCGAACGGAAAGGCCCCUUUGGGGGUCCUCGAGUGGCGAACGGGUGAGUAACACGUGAGUAACCUGCCCUUGACUUCGGGAUAACUUCAGGAAACUGGGGCUAAUACCGGAUAGGAAUCCUUGCUGCAUGGUGGGGGUUGGAAAGCUUCGGCGGUUUUGGAUGGACUCGCGGCUUAUCAGCUUGUUGGUGGGGUAGUGGCUUACCAAGGCUUUGACGGGUAGCCGGCCUGAGAGGGCGACCGGCCACAUUGGGACUGAGAUACGGCCCAGACUCCUACGGGAGGCAGCAGUGGGGAAUAUUGCACAAUGGGCGGAAGUCUGAUGCAGCAACGCCGCGUGCGGGAUGACGGCCUUCGGGUUGUAAACCGCUUUCAGCAGGGGCGAAGCUUGUGGUGACGGUACCUGCAGAAGAAGCACCGGCUAACUACGU